GGAGACCUGACACAGAUACCACUUCAGCUCUUCACUGUUGCACUUGGAUGAGUUGGGGAGUAAAGAAGGAAAGUAUCAGCCAUGCCUUGGUGGGAGCCAAGAUGCCAGAACUGCAGCCAUGCCAUGGUGUGGAGGAACAGAUGUGACUGAAAUAUUUCCUGAUGGAAAGAAGAUUUUUCAGAAAGUCAACAUAGUGGCCAUUCAACUAGUAUGCUCCUCAGAAAGCAGCUCAGCUCCCCAGGUCUGGGGCUUCCCAUUGUUGAAAUAGUUAGAUUUCUUCCCAGGGAUUCUUAAAAAAAAAUAAAAA
RNAcentral lists this long non-coding RNA (307 nucleotides) under Anas platyrhynchos platyrhynchos (common mallard). Its description in RNAcentral is "lncRNA (ENSAPLG00000020803.1)". The record is from RNAcentral. Lineage: Eukaryota; Metazoa; Chordata; Aves; Anseriformes; Anatidae.